RNAcentral lists this ribosomal RNA (792 nucleotides) under uncultured Lactobacillus sp. RNAcentral's name for it is "bacterial SSU rRNA". It matches the Rfam family "Bacterial small subunit ribosomal RNA", at positions 28 to 776 of the family's 1533-position model. The record is from RNAcentral. Lineage: Bacteria; Bacillati; Bacillota; Bacilli; Lactobacillales; Lactobacillaceae.
GAUGAACGCCGGCGGUGUGCCUAAUACAUGCAAGUCGAGCGCACUGGCCCAACUGAUAUGACGUGCUUGCACUGAAUUGACGUUGGAUUCCCAGUGAGCGGCGGACGGGUGAGUAACACGUGGGCAACCUGCCCUGAAGCGGGGGAUAACAUCUGGAAACAGGUGCUAAUACCGCACAACAACGAAAACCACAUGGUUUUCGUUUCAAAGAUGGCUUCGGCUAUCACUUCAGGAUGGGCCCGCGGUGCAUUAGCUAGUUGGUAAGGUAACGGCUUACCAAGGCGAUGAUGCAUAGCCGAGUUGAGAGACUGAUCGGCCACAAUGGAACUGAGACACGGUCCAUACUCCUACGGGAGGCAGCAGUAGGGAAUCUUCCACAAUGGGCGCAAGCCUGAUGGAGCAACACCGCGUGAGUGAAGAAGGGUUUCGGCUCGUAAAACUCUGUUGUUGGAGAAGAACGUGCGUGAGAGUAACUGUUCACGCAGUGACGGUAUCCAACCAGAAAGUCACGGCUAACUACGUGCCAGCAGCCGCGGUAAUACGUAGGUGGCAAGCGUUAUCCGGAUUUAUUGGGCGUAAAGCGAGCGCAGGCGGUUGCUUAGGUCUGAUGUGAAAGCCUUCGGCUUAACCGAAGAAGUGCAUCGGAAACCGGGCGACUUGAGUGCAGAAGAGGACAGUGGAACUCCAUGUGUAGCGGUGGAAUGCGUAGAUAUAUGGAAGAACACCAGUGGCGAAGGCGGCUGUCUGGUCUGCAACUGACGCUGAGGCUCGAAAGCAUGGGUAGCGAACAGG